Molecule: ribosomal RNA, 1302 nt
Filed under: uncultured organism
Description: bacterial SSU rRNA
Rfam family: Bacterial small subunit ribosomal RNA
Source: RNAcentral
AUCUACCUCUAACUGGAGGAUAGCGCGAAGAAAUUCGGAUUAAUACUCCAUAAAGUCAUAAUUUCGCAUGUNAUUAUGAUUAAAGCUCCGGCGGUUAGAGAUGAGCAUGCGUGUCAUUAGCUUGUUGGUGAGGUAACAGCUCACCAAGGCAACGAUGACUAGGGGUUCUGAGAGGAUGAUCCCCCACACUGGUACUGAGACACGGACCAGACUCCUACGGGAGGCAGCAGUGAGGAAUAUUGGGCAAUGGGCGAAAGCCUGACCCAGCCAUGCCGCGUGCAGGAUGACUGCCCUAUGGUUUUAGAAAACUGCCUUUAAUACGGGAAGAAUGGUUCCUACAGUUGUGGGGGAAUUUGACGGGACCGUAAGAAUAAGCAUCGGCUAACUCCGUGCCAGCAGCCGCGGUAAUACGGAGGAUGCAAGCGUUAUCCGGAUUCAUUGGGUUACAAGGGUGCGCAGGCGGAAUAUAUACAGUAAGUGGUGACAUCCUGCAGAUUAACUGUUAGAAACUGCCAUUGAUACUGAUAUUCUUGAAUGUAGUUGACGGUUGGGCGGAAUGUGUCAUGUAGCGGUGAAAUGCCUAAGAUAUUACACGGAACACCGAUUGCGAAGGAAGCACACUAAACUAACAUUGACGCCGAGGCACGGAAAGCGUUGGGAGCGAACAGGAUUAGAUACCCUGGUAGUCCACGCUUGUAAACUAUGAUCACUCGCUGUUGGCAAUACAUCGUCAGCGGCUGAGCGAAAGCAUUAAGUGAUCCACCUGGGGAUUACGAUCGCAAGAUUGAAACUCAAAGGAAUUGACGGGGGCCCGCACAAGCGGAGGAACAUGUGGUUUAAUUCGAUGAUACGCGAGGAACCUUACCUGGGCUUAAAUGCAGAUCGACGUUCCGGGAAACCGGAAUUCCUUCGGGCGAACUGCAAGGUGCUGCAUGGCUGUCGUCAGCUCGUGCCGUGAGGUGUCGGGUUAAGUCCCAUAACGAGCGCAACCCUUAUCGUUAGUUGCCAGCGGGUAAUGCCGGGGACUCUAACGAAACUGCCGGUGUAAACCGUGAGGAAGGUGGGGAUGACGUCAAGUCAGCACGGCCCUUAUGUCCAGGGCUACACACGUGUUACAAUGGUCGGUACAAAGGGCAGCUACCAGUCGACUGGAUGCUAAUCUCAAAAACCGAUCUCAGUUCGGAUUGAAGUCUGCAACUCGACUUCAUGAAGCUGGAUUCGCUAGUAAUCGCGCAUCACGCCACGGCGCGGGAAUACGUUCCCGGGCCUUGACACACCGCCCGUCAAGCCAUGGAAGCUUGG